CCGAAUACAUUAGCAUGGGAUAAUGGAAUAGGACCCUGUCCUCCUAUUUUCAGUUGGUUUUGGCAGCGCGAGGACUAGGGUAAUGAUUAAUAGGGAUAGUUGGGGGCAUUAAUAUUUAAUUGUCAGAGGUGAAAUUCUUGGAUUUAUGAAAGAUUAACUUCUGCGAAAGCAUCUGCCAAGGAUGUUUUCAUUAAUCAAGAACGAAAGUUAGGGGAUCGAAGACGAUCAGAUACCGUCGUAGUCUUAACCAUAAACGAUGCCGACCAGCGAUUAGGAGACGUUGAAUACAAAACACCACCAUCGGCGCGGUCGUCCUUGGCGUCGGUCUUUCGGGGCCGGCGCGGGGGCGGCUUAGCCCGGUGGCACCGGUGAAUGACUCCCUAGCAGCUU
RNAcentral lists this ribosomal RNA (390 nucleotides) under Acanthamoeba sp. RNAcentral describes it as "SSU rRNA". It matches the Rfam family "Eukaryotic small subunit ribosomal RNA", at positions 795 to 1089 of the family's 1831-position model. The record is from RNAcentral. Lineage: Eukaryota; Discosea; Longamoebia; Acanthamoebidae.